This 468-nucleotide ribosomal RNA is filed under the name uncultured bacterium. RNAcentral describes it as "partial 16S ribosomal RNA". It matches the Rfam family "Bacterial small subunit ribosomal RNA", at positions 28 to 507 of the family's 1533-position model. The record is from RNAcentral.
GACGAACGCUGGCGGCGUGCUUAACACAUGCAAGUCGAACGGAAAGGCCCUGCUUUUGUGGGGUGCUCGAGUGGCGAACGGGUGAGUAACGCGUGAGUAACCUGCCCUUGACUUUGGGAUAACUUCAGGAAACUGGGGCUAAUACCGGAUAGGAGCUCCUGCUGCAUGGUGGGGGUUGGAAAGUUUCGGCGGUUGGGGAUGGACUCGCGGCUUAUCAGCUUGUUGGUGGGGUAGUGGCUUACCAAGGCUUUGACGGGUAGCCGGCCUGAGAGGGCGACCGGCCACAUUGGGACUGAGAUACGGCCCAGACUCCUACGGGAGGCAGCAGUGGGGAAUAUUGCACAAUGGGCGGAAGCCUGAUGCAGCAACGCCGCGUGCGGGAUGACGGCCUUCGGGUUGUAAACCGCUUUCGCCUGUGACGAAGCGUGAGUGACGGUAAUGGGUAAAGAAGCACCGGCUAACUACGUG